This 468-nucleotide ribosomal RNA is filed under the name uncultured bacterium. RNAcentral describes it as "partial 16S ribosomal RNA". It matches the Rfam family "Bacterial small subunit ribosomal RNA", at positions 28 to 507 of the family's 1533-position model. The record is from RNAcentral.
GACGAACGCUGGCGGCGUGCUUAACGCAUGCAAGUCGAACGGAAAGGCCCUGCUUUUGUGGGGUGCUCGAGUGGCGAACGGGUGAGUAACACGUGAGUAACCUGCCCUUGACUUUGGGAUAACUUCAGGAAACUGGGGCUAAUACCGGAUAGGAGCUCCUGCUGCAUGGUGGGGGUUGGAAAGUUUCGGCGGUUGGGGAUGGACUCGCGGCUUAUCAGCUUGUUGGUGGGGUAGUGGCUUACCAAGGCUUUGACGGGUAGCCGGCCUGAGAGGGUGACCGGCCACAUUGGGACUGAGAUACGGCCCAGACUCCUACGGGAGGCAGCAGUGGGGAAUAUUGCACAAUGGGCGGAAGCCUGAUGCAGCAACGCCGCGUGCGGGAUGACGGCCUUCGGGUUGUAAACCGCUUUCGCCUGUGACGAAGCGUGAGUGACGGUAAUGGGUAAAGAAGCACCGGCUAACUACAUG